GCUUGUGGCUGGUGGACCAGCUGUGUUUGGAGCCCAGCCCUGCCCGGCUGUGUUCCUAGUAAGCAGCAUCGAGUACAGAUGCUCGGGAAGCCUUUGCUGAGUAAAUAAACACCGGACAUAUGAGUCCAGAGAAACCCUACAAAACAGGAAAGAGGGCAAAGAACGUUUAUAAAAGUCCGCUAAGAAUGCCAAUGCGUGGAAACAGCUCCAAACCCAUCGACAGGGAUCUGGACAAAUGAAUUGUGGUGGAUCCGUGUGGCAGAAUGUUACUCAGCAGUACAAGGAUGGAUAACGCUUCCAUGAAUCAGCGGGGAUGAUUAUAAAACAUAAGUGAGGGAGAAAGGCAAGUGGGAGACAGAUGGAUAAUCAAUGCUCGUUCCGUAAAUGCCGCACCUGCUGCUGCUGUAAGAUGACCACAGAUUUGGUGGCUUAACGCAGUACACACGUAUGAUCUUACAGUCUUGGGGGUCACAAGUCCAAAAGCCGUCUCACUGGACUGAAGUCCAGGUCUCAGCAGGGCUGGGUCCUUCCGGAGGCUCCAGGGGAGCACUGGCCGCCCAGCCUGUCCCAGCUCUGGAGUUGCCCGCGUUCCUCGGCUCCCGGCCCUUCCUCCGGCUUCGGGGCCGGCAGCAUCUUCCCUCCUCGACCUUGGCCUCCGUCAUCACAUCUUCUCUCCGCUCUGACCUCCUGCCUCCCUCCUGUAGGGACCCUUGUGACACCACAGGACCCAGCCCCAUCAUCCAAGAAACUCGGGACAGGGAAAGGAAAGGAUUACCCCGCACUGGACCAUCUGUGGGAGGCGCUUGUAAUUAGCACAGCCUUUAAUAACUGAGGUUCCUUCGCCAGCUCACUGGAGGCAGCCUGAAAACACCAGCGGCCUCGAUGUGGUUACACAGCAAUGGGAACAAGAGCGUACCUGGUGACACAGAUGAAUCUCACUUAAGGCGUCAUUAGAGGCAGUGGGGGCCACUCUGGGCACAGGUCACAGGAAAUUACAGGCCUCGUUUGGAAUACCAACGACACGGCCGCCACAUGCAUCAAAGACGGAA
This is a long non-coding RNA of Balaenoptera musculus (blue whale), 1049 nucleotides long. RefSeq lists it as uncharacterized. NCBI's taxonomy places the organism in Eukaryota, Metazoa, Chordata, Mammalia, Artiodactyla, Balaenopteridae. The record is from RefSeq and is a predicted model, not a curated record. The transcript has 4 exons.